ACGGCUAUGUUGGAAUGGUAGACAAGCGUGACUUAGGAUCUCGUGGUAGAUAUACCGUGUGGGUUCAAAUCCCUCUAGCCGUA
RNAcentral lists this transfer RNA (83 nucleotides) under Gigaspora margarita. RNAcentral describes it as "tRNA-Leu". It matches the Rfam family "tRNA". From Rfam's summary of the family: Transfer RNA (tRNA) molecules are approximately 80 nucleotides in length. Their secondary structure includes four short double-helical elements and three loops (D, anti-codon, and T loops). The record is from RNAcentral. RNAcentral also lists the same sequence under 1 other name. Lineage: Eukaryota; Fungi; Glomeromycota; Glomeromycetes; Diversisporales; Gigasporaceae.